CGGAGCGUAGCUCAGCCUGGUAGAGCACUUGGUUUGGGGCCAAGCCGUCGCAGGUUCAAAUCCUGUCGCUCCGACCA
Molecule: transfer RNA, 77 nt
Filed under: Pedosphaera sp.
Lineage: Bacteria; Pseudomonadati; Verrucomicrobiota; Pedosphaerae; Pedosphaerales; Pedosphaeraceae
Description: tRNA-Pro
Rfam family: tRNA
About the family: Transfer RNA (tRNA) molecules are approximately 80 nucleotides in length. Their secondary structure includes four short double-helical elements and three loops (D, anti-codon, and T loops).
Source: RNAcentral